UACGUAGGGUGCGAGCGUUGUCCGGAAUUAUUGGGCGUAAAGAGCUUGUAGGCGGUCUGUCGCGUCUGCUGUGAAAACUCGAGGCUCAACCUCGAGACGUCGGUGGAAACCGUUUGGCUAGAGUCCGGAAGAGGAGAGUGGAAUUCCCGGUGUAGCGGUGAAAUGCGCAGAUAUCGGGAAGAACACCCGUGGCGAAGGCGGCUCUCUGGGACGGUACUGACGCUGAGACGCGAAAGCGUGGGGAGCGAACAGG
RNAcentral lists this ribosomal RNA (253 nucleotides) under uncultured bacterium. RNAcentral's name for it is "partial 16S ribosomal RNA". It matches the Rfam family "Bacterial small subunit ribosomal RNA", at positions 524 to 776 of the family's 1533-position model. The record is from RNAcentral.